UACCAUCUCUCUCAAGUUUCAAUUUCAGCAGACUAUUCUUUUUCGCCCUAGCCGCAUAGCCACAGUCGACAAUUCCUUCCCUCACCUCAUUCUCUUUGCCUCGUCCCUCUUUUGCCAUCCUCACUGAGUCAGUUUCCCAUCUCACCUCUGUAUAGAAUCCCCACCCCUCAAUAUCGCUGUAGCAUAGGUGAAAGGAAAACAUCGCUAGCCCCUUGACAUCGCGGCUGCUUAUCCUUCUCGGAUCAUUGAAGUAGCUCGUCGACGCUUCUUGCUGGGAGGGAGACGCACCCUUGCCGCAAAUUCCAGCAAAUUACUUGAGGAUAAAGUACUGAAGAUUUGGACAGAGAGCCUAGUAGACCACAGACUGGGUGAGGCCGUUCACAGUUUUGCAGUGUCCGUGUCACCUCACAGGCUACAGUGCAUUGGUA
Molecule: long non-coding RNA, 428 nt
Organism: Hevea brasiliensis (rubber tree)
Lineage: Eukaryota; Viridiplantae; Streptophyta; Magnoliopsida; Malpighiales; Euphorbiaceae
Exons: 3
Source: RefSeq, a predicted model, not a curated record